RNAcentral lists this ribosomal RNA (212 nucleotides) under uncultured bacterium. Its description in RNAcentral is "partial 16S ribosomal RNA". It matches the Rfam family "Bacterial small subunit ribosomal RNA", at positions 524 to 734 of the family's 1533-position model. The record is from RNAcentral.
UACGUAGGGUGCAAGCGUUUGUCCGGAAUUAUUGGGCGUAAAGAGCUCGUAGGCGGUUCGUCGCGUCGGCUGUGAAAACCCGGAGCUCAACUCCGGGCCUGCAGUCGAUACGGGCGGACUCGAGUUCGGCAGGGGAGACUGGAAUUCCUGGUGUAGCGGUGAAAUGCGCAGAUAUCAGGAGGAACACCGGUGGCGAAGGCGGGUCUCUGGGC